Molecule: transfer RNA, 70 nt
Filed under: Baryphthengus martii
Lineage: Eukaryota; Metazoa; Chordata; Aves; Coraciiformes; Momotidae
Description: tRNA-Glu
Rfam family: tRNA
About the family: Transfer RNA (tRNA) molecules are approximately 80 nucleotides in length.
Source: RNAcentral
GUUCCUGUAGUUAAAGGCUAUAACGGUGGCUUUUCAGGCCACAGAUCCUGGAGGGAACCAGGUAGGAACU